RNAcentral lists this ribosomal RNA (578 nucleotides) under Gelatinomyces siamensis. Its description in RNAcentral is "eukaryotic LSU rRNA". It matches the Rfam family "Eukaryotic large subunit ribosomal RNA", at positions 74 to 664 of the family's 3401-position model. The record is from RNAcentral. Lineage: Eukaryota; Fungi; Ascomycota; Leotiomycetes.
AUUGCCUCAGUACGGCGAGUGAGCGGCAUCAGCUCAAAUUUGAAAUCUGGCCUUGCGGCCCGAGUUGUAAUUUGUAGAGAAUGCUUCGGGCGAGGUCCGGUCUAAGUUCCUUGGAACAGGACGUCAGAGAGGGUGAGAAUCCCGUACGCGUCUGGAUCCCUCAGCCCAUGUGAAGCUUCUUCGACGAGUCGAGUUGUUUGGGAAUGCAGCUCAAAAUGGGUGGUAGAUUUCAUCUAAAGCUAAAUACUGGCCAGAGACCGAUAGCGCACAAGUAGAGUGAUCGAAAGAUGAAAAGCACUUUGGAAAGAGAGUUAAACAGUACGUGAAAUUGUUGAAAGGGAAGCGCUUGCAACCAGACUUGCGUGCGGCCGAUCACCCGGCGUUCUCGCCGGUGCACUCGGCCGCGCUCAGGCCAGCAUCGGUUCUGGCGGCUGGAUAAAGGCUCCGGGAAUGUGGCUUCCUCCGGGGAGUGUUAUAGCCCGGGGUGCAAUGCAGCCCGCCGGGACCGAGGACCGCGCUUCGGCUAGGAUGCUGGCGUAAUGGUUGUAAGCGACCCGUCUUGACAACACCGGACCCCA